GUCCGCAGCCAUACCACCUUGAAACCCCCUCAUCUUGUCUCAUCUCCGAAGCUAAGCAGGGUCAGGCCUGGUUAGUGCUUGGAUA
RNAcentral lists this ribosomal RNA (85 nucleotides) under Neogale vison (American mink). The record is from RNAcentral. Lineage: Eukaryota; Metazoa; Chordata; Mammalia; Carnivora; Mustelidae.